GNNUUCUUAUAGUUGAGAUAUCAACGAUGGUUUUUCAGGCCAUAAGCCUUGGGUAGACCCAAGUAAGAACUU
This 72-nucleotide transfer RNA is filed under the name Amazona leucocephala (cuban parrot). RNAcentral describes it as "tRNA-Glu". Lineage: Eukaryota; Metazoa; Chordata; Aves; Psittaciformes; Psittacidae. The record is from RNAcentral.